CGAACGGCAGCGGGGGUAGCUUGCUACCUGCCGGCGAGUGGCGAACGGGUGAGUAAUACAUCGGAACGUGCCCUGUAGUGGGGGAUAACUAGUCGAAAGACUAGCUAAUACCGCAUACGACCUGAGGGUGAAAGUGGGGGACCGCAAGGCCUCAUGCUAUAGGAGCGGCCGAUGUCUGAUUAGCUAGUUGGUGGGGUAAAGGCCCACCAAGGCGACGAUCAGUAGCUGGUCUGAGAGGACGAUCAGCCACACUGGGACUGAGACACGGCCCAGACUCCUACGGGAGGCAGCAGUGGGGAAUUUUGGACAAUGGGGGCAACCCUGAUCCAGCAAUGCCGCGUGUGUGAAGAAGGCCUUCGGGUUGUAAAGCACUUUUGUCCGGAAAGAAAUCGCUUCGGUUAAUACCUGGAGUGGAUGACGGUACCGGAAGAAUAAGGACCGGCUAACUACGUGCCAGCAGCCGCGGUAAUACGUAGGGUCCAAGCGUUAAUCGGAAUUACUGGGCGUAAAGCGUGCGCAGGCGGUUGUGCAAGACCGAUGUGAAAUCCCCGGGCUUAACCUGGGAAUUGCAUUGGUGACUGCACAGCUAGAGUGUGUCAGAGGGAGGUAGAAUUCCACGUGUAGCAGUGAAAUGCGUAGAGAUGUGGAGGAAUACCGAUGGCGAAGGCAGCCUCCUGGGAUAACACUGACGCUCAUGCACGAAAGCGUGGGGAGCAAACAGGAUUAGAUACCCUGGUAGUCCACGCCCUAAACGAUGUCAACUAGUUGUUGGGGAUUCAUUUCCUUAGUAACGUAGCUAACGCGUGAAGUUGACCGCCUGGGGAGUACGGUCGCAAGAUUAAAACUCAAAGGAAUUGACGGGGACCCGCACAAGCGGUGGAUGAUGUGGAUUAAUUCGAUGCAACGCGAAAAACCUUACCUACCCUUGACAUGCCACUAACGAAGCAGAGAUGCAUUAGGUGCUCGAAAG
RNAcentral lists this ribosomal RNA (970 nucleotides) under Ralstonia solanacearum. Its description in RNAcentral is "bacterial SSU rRNA". It matches the Rfam family "Bacterial small subunit ribosomal RNA", at positions 63 to 1024 of the family's 1533-position model. Lineage: Bacteria; Pseudomonadati; Pseudomonadota; Betaproteobacteria; Burkholderiales; Burkholderiaceae. The record is from RNAcentral.